Molecule: transfer-messenger RNA, 386 nt
Filed under: Helicobacter pylori
Lineage: Bacteria; Pseudomonadati; Campylobacterota; Epsilonproteobacteria; Campylobacterales; Helicobacteraceae
Also listed under: 1 other name
Rfam family: transfer-messenger RNA
About the family: Bacterial tmRNA, also known as 10Sa RNA or SsrA, is named for its dual tRNA and mRNA-like properties. Its role is to liberate the mRNA from a stalled ribosome. To accomplish this part of the tmRNA is used as a reading frame that ends in a translation stop signal.
Source: RNAcentral
GGGGCUGACUUGGAUUUCGACAGAUUUCUUGUCGCACAGAUAGCAUGCCAAGCGCUGCUUGUAAAACAGCAACAAAAAUAACUGUAAACAACGCAGAUUACGCUCCAGCUUACGCUAAAGCUGCGUGAGUUAAUCUCCUUUUGGAGCUGGACUGAUUAGAAUUUCUAGCGUUUUAAUCACUCCAUAACCUUAAGCUAGACGCUUUUAAAAGGUGGUUCGCCUUUUAAACUAAGAAACAAGAACUCUUGAAACUACCUCAAGGUUUUAGAAAGUUGGACCAGAGCUAGUUUUAAGGCUAAAAAACUAACCAAUUUUCUAAGCAUUGUAGAAGUUUGUGUUUAGGACAAGAUUUUUGGACUGGGGUUCGAUUCCCCACAGCUCCACCA